Non-coding RNA from Abortiporus biennis, 97 nucleotides. Lineage: Eukaryota; Fungi; Basidiomycota; Agaricomycetes; Polyporales; Podoscyphaceae. The record is from the annotation of a GenBank genome assembly.
GCCGCGUUGGCGUAGUGGUAGCGCGUCGCACUUGUACCGUACUGGAACGUACGAAAUUGAAAUGCGAAGGUCACUCGUUCAACCCGGGUACGUGGCA